Molecule: long non-coding RNA, 430 nt
Filed under: Phoenix dactylifera (date palm)
Lineage: Eukaryota; Viridiplantae; Streptophyta; Magnoliopsida; Arecales; Arecaceae
Description: long non-coding RNA (PDAC_LNC011621)
Source: RNAcentral
AUUGCACUUAGCAUGUGCAACAAGCCGUUAAACCCCUAGGUUACCCUAGUGGACGAGUGUUGUCUCGUGAGGGUUUUCAGGGAUGUUACCCACAAACAUCAUGAAUUAUAUGACCUGAGAUUCUAAUAAAGAUAUGAAAUAAAUCUUAAGCUAAUACACAUGUAAUUAAUUGAUAUAUAUUUUCAAGCAUGGCAACUGUCAAAGCAAGGAAAUAUAAAAGUGUAGUGUGCAUCAAAUCGCAUGACUUUCUCAGAGUACUAAUACCUCCACCACAAUAGGGCACCGCCUGAGUUUUAGGUGCACUACUCAAGUUCACAAGUGUUUUCUACAGUUUAUUAGAACUUGAUCCAUCAAAUUUUCAGAAUAUCACAUGUUGUCUAAAUUUGUCAAGAAUGGUUCGCAUGUAAAGAAAGAGCUAUCAAUCCCAACU